Astrocystis sublimbata is the source of this 99-nucleotide non-coding RNA. The record is from the annotation of a GenBank genome assembly. Lineage: Eukaryota; Fungi; Ascomycota; Sordariomycetes; Xylariales; Xylariaceae.
GGCGUGUUGACGGAGUGGUUAUCGUGUAAGACUUGAAUUAAAACUGAUUCCUGUUAUCUUAUGGCUUCGGCCGCGUAGGUUCGAAUCCUGCACACGUCG